GUGAGGGAUAGAACUGAUCAAACACGCUCUUCCUCUUCUGUGGGUUCAGAGGGACAGGAAAGAGGUUGUGUUUCUGUGCAGCGGGUGGAGGCUCUGAUGGGCACGUAGCCGGCCCGAAGGGGCCAGAGGGUCAGAGCUAGUGAUGCGGUGGGGCGUGGGCUGGGCUCCCCGGGUGACAGAGGAGCCGAGCCCGAGGGAGGGGUGAGGUCCAGGGGUGGCUGGAGGAGGAACAACCAGGCGGAGUCACUGGUGGGAAAGGGCUCCCGCUCCCAGGAGGUACACUCAGGACCGGGCAGAGGGUGUGGGCCGGGGAGCGCCCAAGGUGAGGCAGGCGGGCUGGAAGGAUUGAGCAGGGCUGGACUGGAAAGAACCUGGAGGCCGUUCUGAGGAAUUGGGGUUUUAUCUGUCAGUCAUGGUGCUGUGGUGUCGGAAAAGACUCUUGAGAGUCCUUGAACUGCAAGGCAAUCACCCAGAUAAUCCUGAAGGAAGUAAAUCCUGAAUAUUCAUUGGAAGGACUGAGGCUGAAGCUGAAGCUCUAAUACUUUAGUCACCUGAUGUGAAGAGUUGACUCAUUGGAAAAGACCCUGAUGCUGGGAAAGAUUGCAGGCAGGAGAAGAAGGGGACGACAGAGGAUGAGAUGGUUGGAUUCAUCAUUGACUCAAUGGACAUGAGUUUGAGCAAGCUCCAGGAGCAGGGAAGCCUAGCGUGCUGCAGACCACGGAGUUGUAAAGAGUCAGACACGACUGAGGGACUGAACAAGAACAUUGGGAACCACUAAUUCCACGGACAGAGGAACCUGGCUGGCUACGGUGCCUGGGGUCACAAAGAGUCAGACACGACUGAGCAACUUCCACUUUCACAAGAGCAAAGCAAAGUAACCCUGCUUUUUCUAGCUUGAGACACUCACUUUCUCUGGAAUCACCUGGGUGACUCAUGUCACAAGAAGUGAAGAGCAAGAUGAGCCAGGGCCCGCUGUCCAGGAUGGGGCCCGCCACCGGGCAGCGUCACGGAAGGGAGCUGGGUGAAUCUUCGUGAGGAGCUCCAAGAACUGCCUCCUCAAAUGCCAAGAGAGACCUAGUGGUUUGAUCAGAGCAGCCCUCACCGGGCCCUGCGGCAACGAAUCUGCCAAAACUAAACAAACAAAAGCUGUGGCAAGCAGGGCUCAGCUGUUACGAGGCCAAUUUCCGCCAAGACCGCCCAGAUGCUGCCACCCCAGCAGGUGGUGCCCUGGGGGACGGGGCCUGAAAUGGGACCUGCUCUGUAGGGCGUGGGCUUGGAGGUUCAGGGGGGUGCCUUCUUGGCCAGGCCUAGUGCUCCGGGAGCGGGAUGGCCUUGAAGACUUGCUGGGUUUCCCACAAAGGGCAGGAGGUUACAUUCCAAAAUGCAAGCUUGCGUCUGUUGACCUGAAGCAAACAGACCGCAGGUGUUUCUGCAGCAAAGUUGGGUUUAUUCAAUUCGGGAUCAGCAGGGAAUUGCACUUAAGGCUCUCUGCCGUGGCGGCCACAUGCAAGACCGCACCCGGCAAGGGAAGGAGCAGCUUUCAUAGAGGGGACACGGGCCGGGCCGGCUGGGUAAACAGAGCCUGGGCUUCUCACGGCGGAGUCCUGGCGGGGAGGAAGGGGACUCUCCCUUCCACGGUGGGGCUCCGCUGUGGCUGCAGGGCGAGAGCGCCCCCUGCUGGACCCCUGUCUGUCUACCCAGGGUUUCCAUUCAUUAAAGUUUCACCGGCGUCCGGACGGAAGCCAAAAGGGACA
Molecule: long non-coding RNA, 1754 nt
Organism: Bos taurus (domestic cattle)
Lineage: Eukaryota; Metazoa; Chordata; Mammalia; Artiodactyla; Bovidae
Source: Ensembl